Molecule: ribosomal RNA, 385 nt
Filed under: uncultured bacterium
Lineage: Bacteria
Description: bacterial SSU rRNA
Rfam family: Bacterial small subunit ribosomal RNA
Source: RNAcentral
GAUGAACGCUGGCGGCGUGCUUAACACAUGCAAGUCGAACGGUGAAAGAAGAGCUUGCUCUUCUGGAUCAGUGGCGAACGGGUGAGUAACACGUGAGUAACCUGCCCCAGACUCUGGGAUAAGCACUGGAAACGGUGUCUAAUACCGGAUACGAGCUUCAGUCGCAUGGCUAGGAGCUGGAAAGAAUUUCGGUCUGGGAUGGACUCGCGGCCUAUCAGCUAGUUGGUGAGGUAAUGGCUCACCAAGGCGACGACGGGUAGCCGGCCUGAGAGGGUGACCGGCCACACUGGGACUGAGACACGGCCCAGACUCCUACGGGAGGCAGCAGUGGGGAAUAUUGCACAAUGGGCGCAAGCCUGAUGCAGCAACGCCGCGUGAGGGACGA